Molecule: small nuclear RNA, 115 nt
Organism: Crotalus tigris (Tiger rattlesnake)
Lineage: Eukaryota; Metazoa; Chordata; Lepidosauria; Squamata; Viperidae
Product: U5 spliceosomal RNA
Exons: 1
Source: RefSeq, a predicted model, not a curated record
AUACUCUGGUUUCUCUUCAAAUCAUAUAAAUCUUUCGCCUUUUACUAAAGAUUUCCGUGGAGAGGAGCAUUUAUGAGUUUUCGAAGAUUACUGAAAAUGCAUCAAGGAUGGAAUU